This 445-nucleotide ribosomal RNA is filed under the name Bacillus sp. EB52. RNAcentral describes it as "bacterial SSU rRNA". It matches the Rfam family "Bacterial small subunit ribosomal RNA", at positions 829 to 1275 of the family's 1533-position model. Lineage: Bacteria; Bacillati; Bacillota; Bacilli; Caryophanales; Bacillaceae. The record is from RNAcentral. RNAcentral also lists the same sequence under 2 other names.
GUUUCCGCCCUUUAGUGCUGAAGUUAACGCAUUAAGCACUCCGCCUGGGGAGUACGGCCGCAAGGCUGAAACUCAAAGGAAUUGACGGGGGCCCGCACAAGCGGUGGAGCAUGUGGUUUAAUUCGAAGCAACGCGAAGAACCUUACCAGGUCUUGACAUCCUCUGAAAACCCUAGAGAUAGGGCUUCUCCUUCGGGAGCAGAGUGACAGGUGGUGCAUGGUUGUCGUCAGCUCGUGUCGUGAGAUGUUGGGUUAAGUCCCGCAACGAGCGCAACCCUUGAUCUUAGUUGCCAUCAUUAAGUUGGGCACUCUAAGGUGACUGCCGGUGACAAACCGGAGGAAGGUGGGGAUGACGUCAAAUCAUCAUGCCCCUUAUGACCUGGGCUACACACGUGCUACAAUGGACGGUACAAAGAGCUGCAAGACCGCGAGGUGGAGCUAAUCUC